GUGAGCGGAUGAACUGAGGGUAGCGGAGAAAUUCCAAUCGAACCUGGAGAUAGCUGGUUCUCUCCGAAAUAGCUUUAGGGCUAGCCUCAAGUGAUGAUUAUUGGAGGUAGAGCACUGUUUGGACGAGGGGCCCCUCUCGGGUUACCGAAUUCAGACAAACUCCGAAUGCCAAUUAAUUUAACUUGGGAGUCAGAACAUGGGUGAUAAGGUCCAUGUUCGAAAGGGAAACAGCCCAGACCACCAGCUAAGGUCCCAAAAUAUAUGUUAAGUGGAAAAGGAUGUGGCGUUGCCCAGACAACUAGGAUGUUGGCUUAGAAGCAGCCAUCAUUUAAAGAGUGCGUAAUAGCUCACUAGUCGAGUGACACUGCGCCGAAAAUGUACCGGGGCUAAACAUAUUACCGAAGCUGUGGAUUGUCCUUUGGACAAUGGUAGGAGAGCGUUCUAAGGGCGUUGAAGCAUGAUCGUAAGGACAUGUGGAGCGCUUAGAAGUGAGAAUGCCGGUGUGAGUAGCGAAAGAUGGGUGAGAAUCCCGUCCACCGAUUGACUAAGGUUUCCAGAGGAAGGCUCGUCCGCUCUGGGUUAGUCGGGUCCUAAGCUGAGGCCGACAGGCGUAGGCGAUGGAUAACAGGUUGAUAUUCCUGUACCACCUAUAAUCGUUUUAAUCGAUGGGGGGACGCAGUAGGAUAGGCGAAGCGUGCGAUUGGAUUGCACGUCUAAGCAGUAAGGCUGAGUAUUAGGCAAAUCCGGUACUCGUUAAGGCUGAGCUGUGAUGGGGAGAAGACAUUGUGUCUUCGAGUCGUUGAUUUCACACUGCCGAGAAAAGCCUCUAGAUAGAAAAUAGGUGCCCGUACCGCAAACCGACACAGGUAGUCAAGAUGAGAAUUCUAAGGUGAGCGAGCGAACUCUCGUUAAGGAACUCGGCAAAAUGACCCCGUAACUUCGGGAGAAGGGGUGCUCUUUAGGGUUAACGCCCAGAAGAGCCGCAGUGAAUAGGCCCAAGCGACUGUUUAUCAAAAACACAGGUCUCUGCUAAACCGUAAGGUGAUGUAUAGGGGCUGACGCCUGCCCGGUGCUGGAAGGUUAAGAGGAGUGGUUAGCUUCUGCGAAGCUACGAAUCGAAGCCCCAGUAAACGGCGGCCGUAACUAUAACGGUCCUAAGGUAGCGAAAUUCCUUGUCGGGUAAGUUCCGACCCGCACGAAAGGCGUAACGAUUUGGGCACUGUCUCAACGAGAGACUCGGUGAAAUCAUAGUACCUGUGAAGAUGCAGGUUACCCGCGACAGGACGGAAAGACCCCGUGGAGCUUUACUGUAGCCUGAUAUUGAAAUUCGGCACAGCUUGUACAGGAUAGGUAGGAGCCUUUGAAACGUGAGCGCUAGCUUACGUGGAGGCGCUGGUGGGAUACUACCCUAGCUGUGUUGGCUUUCUAACCCGCACCACUUAUCGUGGUGGGAGACAGUGUCAGGCGGGCAGUUUGACUGGGGCGGUCGCCUCCUAAAAGGUAACGGAGGCGCUCAAAGGUUNCCUCAGAAUGGUUGGAAAUCAUUCAUAGAGUGUAAAGGCAUAAGGGAGCUUGACUGCGAGACCUACAAGUCGAGCAGGGUCGAAAGACGGACUUAGUGAUCCGGUGGUUCCGCAUGGAAGGGCCAUCGCUCAACGGAUAAAAGCUACCCCGGGGAUAACAGGCUUAUCUCCCCCAAGAGUUCACAUCGACGGGGAGGUUUGGCACCUCGAUGUCGGCUCAUCGCAUCCUGGGGCUGUAGUCGGUCCCAAGGGUUGGGCUGUUCGCCCAUUAAAGCGGUACGCGAGCUGGGUUCAGAACGUCGUGAGACAGUUCGGUCCCUAUCCGUCGUGGGCGUAGGAAAUUUGAGAGGAGCUGUCCUUAGUACGAGAGGACCGGGAUGGACAUACCUCUGGUGUACCAGUUGUCGUGCCAACGGCAUAGCUGGGUAGCUAUGUGUGGACGGGAUAAGUGCUGAAAGCAUCUAAGCAUGAAGCCCCCCUCAAGAUGAGAUUUCCCAACUUCGGUUAUAAGAUCCCUCAAAGAUGAUGAGGUUAAUAGGUUCGAGGUGGAAGUAUGGUGACAUGUGGAGCUGACGAAUACUAAUCGAUCGAAGACUUAAUCAA
RNAcentral lists this ribosomal RNA (2126 nucleotides) under Staphylococcus aureus. RNAcentral describes it as "23S ribosomal RNA". It matches the Rfam family "Bacterial large subunit ribosomal RNA", at positions 796 to 2925 of the family's 2925-position model. Lineage: Bacteria; Bacillati; Bacillota; Bacilli; Caryophanales; Staphylococcaceae. The record is from RNAcentral.